This 254-nucleotide ribosomal RNA is filed under the name uncultured bacterium. RNAcentral describes it as "partial 16S ribosomal RNA". It matches the Rfam family "Bacterial small subunit ribosomal RNA", at positions 524 to 776 of the family's 1533-position model. The record is from RNAcentral.
UACGUAGGGUGCAAGCGUUGUCCGGAAUUAUUGGGCGUAAAGAGCUCGUAGGCGGUCUGUCGCGUCGGCCGUGAAAACCUGCAGCUUAACUGUGGGCUUGCGGUCGAUACGGGCAUCACUGGAGUUCGGCAGGGGAGACUGGAAUUCCUGGUGUAGCGGUGAAAUGCGCAGAUAUCAGGAGGAACACCGGUGGCGAAGGCGGGUCUCUGGGCCGAUACUGACGUGGAGGAGCGAAAGCGUGGGGAGCGAACAGG